This 465-nucleotide ribosomal RNA is filed under the name Vreelandella stevensii. Its description in RNAcentral is "partial 16S ribosomal RNA". It matches the Rfam family "Bacterial small subunit ribosomal RNA", at positions 338 to 795 of the family's 1533-position model. The record is from RNAcentral. Lineage: Bacteria; Pseudomonadati; Pseudomonadota; Gammaproteobacteria; Oceanospirillales; Halomonadaceae.
CCUACGGGCGGCUGCAGUGGGGAAUAUUGGACAAUGGGGGGAACCCUGAUCCAGCCAUGCCGCGUGUGUGAAGAAGGCCCUCGGGUUGUAAAGCACUUUCAGUGAGCAAGAACGCCUGGUGGUUAAUACCCAUCAGGAAAGACAUCACUCACAGAAGAAGCACCGGCUAACUCCGUGCCAGCAGCCGCGGUAAUACGGAGGGUGCGAGCGUUAAUCGGAAUUACUGGGCGUAAAGCGCGCGUAGGUGGCUUGAUAAGCCGGUUGUGAAAGCCCCGGGCUCAACCUGGGAACGGCAUCCGGAACUGUCAAGCUAGAGUGCAGGAGAGGAAGGUAGAAUUCCCGGUGUAGCGGUGAAAUGCGUAGAGAUCGGGAGGAAUACCAGUGGCGAAGGCGGCCUUCUGGACUGACACUGACACUGAGGUGCGAAAGCGUGGGUAGCAAACAGGAUUAGAUACCCUAGUAGUC